GCAGUCGAGCGGACUUCAUUAGCUUGCUUUUGAAGAUCAGCGGCGGACGGGUGAGUAACACGUGGGCAACCUGCCUGUAAGACUGGGAUAACUUCGGGAAACCGGAGCUAAUACCGGAUAAUCCUUUCCCUCACAUGAGGGAAAGCUGAAAGACNGUUUCGGCUGUCACUUACAGAUGGGCCCGCGGCGCAUUAGCUAGUUGGUGAGGUAACGGCUCACCAAGGCAACGAUGCGUAGCCGACCUGANAGGGUGAUCGGCCACACUGGGACUGAGACACGGCCCAGACUCCUACGGGAGGCAGCAGUAGGGAAUCUUCCGCAAUGGACGAAAGUCUGACGGAGCAACGCCGCGUGAACGAUGAAGGCUUUCGGGUCGUAAAGUUCUGUUGUCAGGGAAGAACAAGUACCGGAGUAACUGCCGGUACCUGA
This 429-nucleotide ribosomal RNA is filed under the name uncultured Bacillus sp. Its description in RNAcentral is "bacterial SSU rRNA". It matches the Rfam family "Bacterial small subunit ribosomal RNA", at positions 57 to 482 of the family's 1533-position model. Lineage: Bacteria; Bacillati; Bacillota; Bacilli; Caryophanales; Bacillaceae. The record is from RNAcentral.